AGCAGUAAUUAUUCAGACAGAGUCUGGGGAAAAACAUUGAAGUUGACGUUUGCAUGAAGCUGGGAGACAGCAUGCCCAGGAGACUACAGGCUGUCAUUAAGGCUAAGGGUUGUCU
This is a long non-coding RNA of Sinocyclocheilus anshuiensis, 115 nucleotides long. RefSeq lists it as uncharacterized. The transcript has 3 exons. The record is from RefSeq and is a predicted model, not a curated record. Lineage: Eukaryota; Metazoa; Chordata; Actinopteri; Cypriniformes; Cyprinidae.